Molecule: ribosomal RNA, 305 nt
Filed under: uncultured bacterium
Lineage: Bacteria
Description: bacterial SSU rRNA
Rfam family: Bacterial small subunit ribosomal RNA
Source: RNAcentral
UCUCCUACGGGACGCAGCAGUGGGGGAUAUUGCACAAUGGGGGCAACCCUGAUGCAGCGACGCCGCGUGAGCGAUGGAGUACUUCGGUAUGUAAAGCUCUGUCAGCAGGGAAGAGAAUGACGGUACCUGACCAAGAAGCCCCGGCUAAAUACGUGCCAGCAGCCGCGGUAAUACGUAUGGGGCAAGCGUUAUCCGGAUUUACUGGGUGUAUAGGGAGCGUAGGCGGCAGGGCAAGCCUGAUGUGAAAGCCCGGGGCUCAACCCCGGGACUGCGUUGCGAACGGCCCCGCUCGAGUUGCGGAGGGG